GCUACUAAAGGAUAACAGCCAUCCUUUGGCUUUAGAAACCAAAAUUUCUUGGUGCAAAUCCAGGUAGUAUCU
RNAcentral lists this transfer RNA (72 nucleotides) under Austrofundulus limnaeus. It matches the Rfam family "tRNA". Rfam says of the family: Transfer RNA (tRNA) molecules are approximately 80 nucleotides in length. Their secondary structure includes four short double-helical elements and three loops (D, anti-codon, and T loops). Further hydrogen bonds mediate the characteristic L-shaped molecular structure. tRNAs have two regions of fundamental functional importance: the anti-codon, which is responsible for specific mRNA codon recognition, and the 3' end, to which the tRNAs corresponding amino acid is attached (by aminoacyl-tRNA synthetases). tRNAs cope with the degeneracy of the genetic code in two manners: having more than one tRNA (with a specific anti-codon) for a particular amino acid; and 'wobble' base-pairing, i.e. permitting non-standard base-pairing at the 3rd anti-codon position. Lineage: Eukaryota; Metazoa; Chordata; Actinopteri; Cyprinodontiformes; Rivulidae. The record is from Rfam by way of RNAcentral.